AACCAUCCAUUAACGCUUAGCUUACAGAAAUAACCUAACUAAGGUACUCAGUAAAACGUGAGAGUGAGAAACAAAUAACACGAAUUUAACACUUAUUUCAUGAAGAAAAUCAGGAAGUAAUGGCUAAUAUCAGCAAUUAGAGGUUCAGCAAAACAUAUUAGCCUAAUCCAUGCAAGUUCUGAAGAUUAAAGUUACUAUGAAAACAAAUAGUCAGUAGCAUAAACAAUGAUCCAAAAUAUAACCACCUACUAAAACUAAUUAGGCUGUUAGGGAAUGACACAAAUGAAAAUCAGGAGAUGAAGAUCAACAAACAUUACUGAAGAAUGACAAAACAAGGAUCUCAGAAUCAGGAGGGUAAAAUCAACAUGAUAUUAGACCAACCAAAAGACGAAAGGAUUUCAGACCAGUGAUGACCAAAGGAAAUAUAGCAAGUAGAGAUGACUAUUUAACCUAUUUCAAGAUGAGACUGUGGAGAAACAACUAAUCAUUCAAAAGAAACAAAACAACUAUAUACAGGCAAUGAUAUUGAUAAAAAUAGAAUACUUAGCUUUUCACAUGAGAAUCUAACUUGAUAUCAAUCUGUUGGUUUCUGACCUCUUAUAUAGAGGUUUCUAACCUUCUAAGGCGACUCAUUUUUGGAAUAAUGGAUUUUAGGGGUUCAUGACUGGGAUUCUGUGAUUCUGAGACCAAGUGAGGUCUCUCAGAUCUGAGUUUCCUCGGUGGUUAGUGGUAUUUAGGGCUUGUGGGUGGCAUGGUUGGGGAGGGAAUAGACGGGGACUGCCUGAGAUGAGUUUGAUCGGAAUCCAGUGGGGUUUGAGUUUUAGGGUUAGACUUCAUAUCAAUAUUUGAGACGUUUCAAACGGAUUCGAAGGGUGUGACAUGCACGGUUGCAAAUAGGAGGAUGAGUUGUUUCAGGGGUGUAAUUUUGGAUGGGUUUGGAGUUGGGUUGCCGGAGAUGGUGGUUCCGGUGGUCUUUCUUUUGAAGAUUCGAGAUGAUGGGGGUUGUCUGAAGAGAACAAGUUGCAGGACGGAGAAGGGGAGGUCCUGGUGGUCCUAUGGGCUAAAGUUGGGGGUGGUUUGGAACAGGGUCGCCGGACACGGUGGUUCCGAUGACCCUUCUUUUGAAUAUUUGAGACAGAGGAGGGAUGUUCGACGGAAGCUGAUUGCACGACAGGGAAGGGGGGGGGUUUUGGUGGUCUGGUUGUGUGAAGUUGGGGUGGUUUGGUGACCGGCCACCACGGUGAGGCGAUUUCUGGCAGCGGCGUUAGGGUGGCUACUGGGUGGUCAAGGGAUGGUCAAGGGGAGGUCAAGGGGAGGG
Molecule: long non-coding RNA, 1318 nt
Filed under: Nicotiana benthamiana
Lineage: Eukaryota; Viridiplantae; Streptophyta; Magnoliopsida; Solanales; Solanaceae
Description: long non-coding RNA (NBEN_LNC009400)
Source: RNAcentral